This 71-nucleotide small nucleolar RNA is filed under the name Amazona aestiva (blue-fronted amazon). Its description in RNAcentral is "Small nucleolar RNA SNORD18". It matches the Rfam family "Small nucleolar RNA SNORD18". Rfam says of the family: U18 is a member of the C/D class of snoRNA which contain the C (UGAUGA) and D (CUGA) box motifs. It is encoded in introns of ribosomal protein L1 in Xenopus and human, and in introns of elongation factor 1 beta in yeast. The record is from Rfam by way of RNAcentral. Lineage: Eukaryota; Metazoa; Chordata; Aves; Psittaciformes; Psittacidae.
CUGGAAUGAGGAGAUUCCACUUCACUGGUCCAUGUUUCUGAAACGCAUGAUUUUGUGGAAAUUCUGACUUA